RNAcentral lists this ribosomal RNA (430 nucleotides) under uncultured bacterium. Its description in RNAcentral is "bacterial SSU rRNA". It matches the Rfam family "Bacterial small subunit ribosomal RNA", at positions 354 to 796 of the family's 1533-position model. The record is from RNAcentral.
GUGGGGAAUUUUGGACAAUGGGCGGAAGCCUGAUGCAGCAACGCCGCGUGAGGGAUGACGGCCUUCGGGUUGUAAACCUCUUUUAGCAGGGAAGAAGCGAAAGUGACGGUACCUGCAGAAAAAGCGCCGGCUAACUACGUGCCAGCAGCCGCGGUAAUACGUAGGGCGCAAGCGUUAUCCGGAAUUAUUGGGCGUAAAGAGCUCGUAGGCGGUUUGUCGCGUCUGCUGUGAAAACCCGAGGCUCAACCUCGGGCCUGCAGUGGGUACGGGCAGACUAGAGUGCGGUAGGGGAGAUUGGAAUUCCUGGUGUAGCGGUGGAAUGCGCAGAUAUCAGGAGGAACACCGAUGGCGAAGGCAGAUCUCUGGGCCGUAACUGACGCUGAGGAGCGAAAGGGUGGGGAGCAAACAGGCUUAGAUACCCCAGUAGUCC